AGCUUUGCACAGUGGCACUAUCGUAGCCAAAGAGGUUUAUCCAAGGCGCGAUCAUUGCUAAUUGAAAACUUUUCCCAAGAAAAGCAUUCAAAGGAAGAAGACAUCCAUAAAAUGCUAA
This 118-nucleotide small nuclear RNA is filed under the name Zalophus californianus (California sea lion). Its description in RNAcentral is "U4 spliceosomal RNA (ENSZCAG00015007948.1)". It matches the Rfam family "U4 spliceosomal RNA", at positions 1 to 116 of the family's 138-position model. From Rfam's summary of the family: U4 small nuclear RNA (U4 snRNA) is a component of the major U2-dependent spliceosome. The structure of U4 snRNA from yeast and human has been reported. Lineage: Eukaryota; Metazoa; Chordata; Mammalia; Carnivora; Otariidae. The record is from RNAcentral.